Molecule: ribosomal RNA, 703 nt
Filed under: uncultured crenarchaeote
Lineage: Archaea; Thermoproteati; Thermoproteota
Description: bacterial SSU rRNA
Rfam family: Archaeal small subunit ribosomal RNA
Source: RNAcentral
AUAACCCCGGGAAACUGGGAUUAAUACAGGAUAGAUCAUCUCAUCUGGAAGGAGAGAUGGCUUAAAGGGGUGCGCGAGCUUCUUUUGUGCAUCCGCUCCAGGAUGGGACUGCGACCGAUCAGGCUGUUGGCGGGGUAAUGGCCCACCAAACCUGUAACCAGUACGGGCCUUGAGAGAGGGGGCCCGGAGAUGGACACUGAGAGAAGGGUCCAGGUCCUACGGGGCGCAGCAGGCGCGAAACCUUCGCAAUGCGCGAAAGCGUGACGAGGUUAAUCCGAGUGGUUCCCGCUGAGGGAAUCUUUUGUUGGCUCUAAAAAGGCCGGUGAAUAAGGGGAGGGCAAGUCUGGUGUCAGCCGCCGCGGUAAUACCAGCUCCUCGAGUGGUCGGGGCGAUUAUUGGGCCUAAAGCAUCCGUAGCCGGUUCUGUAGGUCCUCUGUUAAAUCCAACGGCUUAACCGUUGGCCUGCAGAAGAUACCGCAGGACUAGGAGGCGGGAGAGGCGGACGGUACUCUACGUGUAGGGGUAAAAUCCUUUGAUCCGUGGAAGACCACCAGUGGCGAAGGCGGUCUGCCAGAACGCGCUCGACGGUGAGGGAUGAAAGCUGGGGGAGCGAACCGAUUAGAUACCCGGGUAGUCCAGCCGUAAACGAUGCGAGCUAGAUGAUUCAAUCGCAAAUCGCGAUUGAAGUGUCGCAGGGAAGCUC